RNAcentral lists this long non-coding RNA (1318 nucleotides) under Mus musculus (house mouse). RNAcentral's name for it is "predicted gene, 26760". The record is from RNAcentral. Lineage: Eukaryota; Metazoa; Chordata; Mammalia; Rodentia; Muridae.
UUUUCGGACGAUCUGUGAGAGCAAAGCAGACAAGAUGUAGGCAGGGGACUGAUAGUUCUGGUGGCGGAAUCCACCACUGGAAGAUUUCGAACAUAGAAUAGUUGAUGAAUUUAGGAUGAUAGAGUCCGUGCCCAGCGAUUGUGUGAUCUGUUGAUUCUAAACUAAGAUUGUCGGGUGUAUUCCAUUCUGCAACGAUUCAACUGAGCGCCAGUGAAAGAUAUAGAAUCCUUUGUGUAUACGCCAGGAGAAGUAUAGUUGGGAUAUAUGGUGGUUCUGCUUUAUUUCUUUGAGGAUCCUCUACACUCAGUUACACCAUGGUUUCAUCAGUUAUCAUCCCAUCAACAGUGAGUAUGUAUUUUACUUCAAAAUGAUCCAAACUUAUAUUUUAACCAAACACGGGGGAAUUUCAUUGCUGCCACAUCUAGCAGACGGCACAAAAUAGCACCUGGUUGGAGGAACUAAUUAGGGAUGUUUCUGCACAACGAAUCAGAAGAAUGAAAAGACGUGGAAACCUCUCCUGUCUGAAAUUCAAGCUCACACUCCUGUCCUCUGUUCCUUUCCUUAAAGCUCCACUGGAUGCGGGACUAUUUUUCAAAAUUAAAGUGACCAACACUGGAGAUAAAGUAGUUGGGAUUAAACCUGAAGGCUUAUUUCACCACACUAAAGGAAAGAAAGACCACUGUAUUGUGUCUUACGAAGGCCAUGGUAGGAGGAUGGAGUGUCUGCUGAUCUAUAUGAACAAGGAGCGGCUGGAAAACCAGAAACGUAACUUCUGGAAGUUGGAGCUAUCCAUCUGGCUUACUUACUGAGAACUGUAGGCACCCGCACUGCAAGCAUUAUUUAUAUACUAAGUAAUGCAUUUAAGAUUUAUGAGGAAUGAGAAGUCACACCACACCUAGAAGGGUGUGAACACGGAAUGCCUGCACUCAGGGAGAGAUCUGCGUCAGCUGUAUUUUUGAUCAAAAGUUGUUCCCAUAGUGACAACACUCUCCCCCUUAUCAGUAUUUCUUCUUGUUACUUGGUUACCAAAAUAUGAAAUGAAUACUGAAUGCAGGUCAUGAGCAUGAGAGCGAAUAUAAAGCUAACUAGUUAUCUAGGUCUAACUCUGUCAUGAUUUUUCUUUAUAUUUUUGGUGGUGGUUAAAUACAUAAAUAUAUUCAGUGGUCUAAGUAUAGAACCCAAUAUGAAGCCCACAGCCUCCAAAUGCCUAUUGUAACUUCCCAGAAGUUCACUGAGGUAUACAAACCUUAGGUCUAAUAAAUUCACUGUGUAAUUUUUUUAUUUACAUAAUUGUUAAAAUAAAAUUUAUUAAAAUGUA